Molecule: ribosomal RNA, 229 nt
Filed under: uncultured Bacteroidota bacterium
Lineage: Bacteria; Pseudomonadati; Bacteroidota
Description: uncultured Bacteroidetes bacterium partial 16S ribosomal RNA
Rfam family: Bacterial small subunit ribosomal RNA
Source: RNAcentral
CUGAACCAGCCAAGUAGCGUGCAGGAUGACGGCCCUCGUGGUUGUAAACUGCUUUUAGUCGGGAAUAAAAGGGGGUUCGUGAACCCCGUAUUGUAUGUACCGUCAGAAAAAGGACCGGCUAAUUCCGUGCCAGCAGCCGCGGUAAUACGGAAGGUCCGGGCGUUAUCCGGAUUUAUUGGGUUUAAAGGGAGCGUAGGCGGGCCGUUAAGUCAGUUGUGAAAGUUUGCGG